ACUCAAAGGAAUAGACGGGGACCCGCACAAGCGGUGGAGCGUGUUGUUUAAUUCGAUGGUAAGCGAAGAACCUUACCAGGGCUUGACAUCCUUGGAAUUUCUGCGAAAGCAGAAAGUGCCUUUUGGAACCAAGUGACAGGUGAUGCAUGGCCGUCUUCAGCUCGUGUCGUGAGAUGUUGGGUUAAGUCCCGCAACGAGCGCAACCCUUAUCGUUAGUUGGAUUUUUCUAACGAGACUGCCUCGGUAACGGGGAGGAAGGAGGGGAUGAUGUCAGGUCAGUAUUUCCCUUACGUCCUGGGCUACAAACACGCUACAAUGGCCGGUACAAAGAGCUGCAAAGCCGCGAGGCGAAGCAAAUCUCAUCAAAGCCGGUCCCAGUUCGGAUAGCAGGCUGAAACUCGCCUGCUUGAAGUCGGAAUCGCUAGUAACCGUAGGUCAGCACACUACGGUGAAUACGUUCCCGGGUCUUGUACACACCGCCCGU
Molecule: ribosomal RNA, 484 nt
Filed under: uncultured bacterium
Lineage: Bacteria
Description: partial 16S ribosomal RNA
Rfam family: Bacterial small subunit ribosomal RNA
Source: RNAcentral